GACGAACGCUGGCGGCGUGCCUAAUACAUGCAAGUCGAACGCUGAAGAGAGGAGCUUGCUCUUCUUGGAUGAGUUGCGAACGGGUGAGUAACGCGUAGGUAACCUGCCUUGUAGCGGGGGAUAACUAUUGGAAACGAUAGCUAAUACCGCAUAACAAUGGAUGACACAUGUCAUUUAUUUGAAAGGGGCAAUUGUUCCACUACAAGAUGGACCUGCGUUGUAUUAGCUAGUAGGUGAGGUAAUGGCUCACCUAGGCGACGAUACAUAGCCGACCUGAGAGGGUGAUCGGCCACACUGGGACUGAGACACGGCCCAGACUCCUACGGGAGGCAGCAGUAGGGAAUCUUCGGCAAUGGGGGCAACCCUGACCGAGCAACGCCGCGUGAGGGAAGAAGGGUUUCGGAUCGUAAAGCUCUGUUGUAAGUCAAGAACGGGUGUGAGAGUGGAAAGUUCACACUGUGACGGUAGCUUACCAGAAAGGGACGGCUAACUACGUG
RNAcentral lists this ribosomal RNA (497 nucleotides) under uncultured bacterium. RNAcentral's name for it is "partial 16S ribosomal RNA". It matches the Rfam family "Bacterial small subunit ribosomal RNA", at positions 28 to 507 of the family's 1533-position model. The record is from RNAcentral.